Molecule: transfer RNA, 68 nt
Filed under: Dipodomys ordii (Ord's kangaroo rat)
Lineage: Eukaryota; Metazoa; Chordata; Mammalia; Rodentia; Heteromyidae
Rfam family: tRNA
About the family: Transfer RNA (tRNA) molecules are approximately 80 nucleotides in length. Their secondary structure includes four short double-helical elements and three loops (D, anti-codon, and T loops). Further hydrogen bonds mediate the characteristic L-shaped molecular structure. tRNAs have two regions of fundamental functional importance: the anti-codon, which is responsible for specific mRNA codon recognition, and the 3' end, to which the tRNAs corresponding amino acid is attached (by aminoacyl-tRNA synthetases). tRNAs cope with the degeneracy of the genetic code in two manners: having more than one tRNA (with a specific anti-codon) for a particular amino acid; and 'wobble' base-pairing, i.e. permitting non-standard base-pairing at the 3rd anti-codon position.
Source: Rfam by way of RNAcentral
GGUGACUCAGUGGUAGAGUGCUUGCCUUGCAUGUAGGAGGCCCUGGGUUCGAUUAUUCCUCAGCACCA